GUCGCCAAUUGCACAUCACUGUUGGUACUGUUAUUGUUGCUGGCUUUGCCUGUACCAUUGCUAGUCUUAUUUGUCCAGCUUCAUUUUCCCAUUACAAUUAUAUGCAAGACCAUAGUCAGAAUAAUCAGUGACGUCCUCACAAUGAGGUAUAACUAUAGUUAAUCGCAAUGAAUACAACUGUUGUUAAUCUUUGCUGCCACUGU
This 203-nucleotide unclassified non-coding RNA is filed under the name Hevea brasiliensis (rubber tree). The record is from RNAcentral. Lineage: Eukaryota; Viridiplantae; Streptophyta; Magnoliopsida; Malpighiales; Euphorbiaceae.